UGGGGAAUUUUGGACAAUGGGCGAAAGCCUGAUCCAGCAAUGCCGCGUGUGUGAAGAAGGCCUUCGGGUUGUAAAGCACUUUUGUCCGGAAAGAAAUGGCUCUGGUUAAUACCUGGGGUCGAUGACGGUACCGGAAGAAUAAGGACCGGCUAACUACGUGCCAGCAGCCGCGGUAAUACGUAGGGUCCAAGCGUUAAUCGGAAUUACUGGGCGUAAAGCGUGCGCAGGCGGUUGUGCAAGACCGAUGUGAAGUCCCCGAGCUUAACUUGGGAAUUGCAUUGGUGACUGGAGGGCUAGAGUGUGUCAGAGGGGGGUAGAAUUACACGUGUAGCAGUGAAAUGCGUAGAGAUGUGGAGGAAUACCGAUGGCGAAGGCAGCCCCCUGGGAUAACACUGACGCUCAUGCAAGAAAGCGUGGGGAGCAAACAGG
RNAcentral lists this ribosomal RNA (429 nucleotides) under Acidobacteriota bacterium. RNAcentral describes it as "Acidobacteria bacterium partial 16S ribosomal RNA". It matches the Rfam family "Bacterial small subunit ribosomal RNA", at positions 355 to 776 of the family's 1533-position model. Lineage: Bacteria; Pseudomonadati; Acidobacteriota. The record is from RNAcentral.